CCCUUAGAUGUUCUGGGCUGCACGCGCGCCACACUGACAUGUCCAGCGAGCUCCCAACCUGCUCGGCAAAGAAUGGGUACCCUUUUUAACGCAUGUCGUGAUGGGGAUAGAUUAUUGCAAUUGUUGAUCUUGAACGAGGAAUUCCUAGUAAGUGCAAGUCAUUAGCUUGUGCUGAAUACGUCCCUGCCCUUUGUACACACCGCCCGUCGCUCCUACCGAUUGAGUGAGCCGAUGAAACUGCCGGAUGUGGACUAUUCAUAGUCUGCAGAAGAUAUUUGAAUCGUAGCGCUUAGAGGAAGGAGAAGUCGUAACA
Molecule: ribosomal RNA, 313 nt
Filed under: uncultured eukaryote
Lineage: Eukaryota
Description: partial 18S ribosomal RNA
Rfam family: Eukaryotic small subunit ribosomal RNA
Source: RNAcentral